Molecule: ribosomal RNA, 702 nt
Filed under: Micromonospora sp.
Lineage: Bacteria; Bacillati; Actinomycetota; Actinomycetes; Micromonosporales; Micromonosporaceae
Description: bacterial SSU rRNA
Rfam family: Bacterial small subunit ribosomal RNA
Source: RNAcentral
GUACUCGAGCGGCGAACGGGUGAGUAACACGUGAGCAACCUGCCCCAAGCUUUGGGAUAACCCUCGGAAACGGGGGCUAAUACCGAAUAUUACUGCUGGCCGCAUGGCUGGUGGUGGAAAGUUUUUCGGCUUGGGAUGGGCUCGCGGCCUAUCAGCUUGUUGGUGGGGUGAUGGCCUACCAAGGCGACGACGGGUAGCCGGCCUGAGAGGGCGACCGGCCACACUGGGACUGAGACACGGCCCAGACUCCUACGGGAGGCAGCAGUGGGGAAUAUUGCACAAUGGGCGGAAGCCUGAUGCAGCGACGCCGCGUGAGGGAUGACGGCCUUCGGGUUGUAAACCUCUUUCAGCAGGGACGAAGCGAGAGUGACGGUACCUGCAGAAGAAGCACCGGCCAACUACGUGCCAGCAGCCGCGGUAAGACGUAGGGUGCGAGCGUUGUCCGGAUUUAUUGGGCGUAAAGAGCUCGUAGGCGGCUUGUCGCGUCGACCGUGAAAACUUGGGGCUCAACCCCAAGCCUGCGGUCGAUACGGGCAGGCUAGAGUUCGGUAGGGGAGACUGGAAUUCCUGGUGUAGCGGUGAAAUGCGCAGAUAUCAGGAGGAACACCGGUGGCGAAGGCGGGUCUCUGGGCCGAUACUGACGCUGAGGAGCGAAAGCGUGGGGAGCGAACAGGAUUAGAUACCCUGGUAGUCCACGCUGUA